UCCAUUAGAUGUUUGGAAGUUAUGGCUUACAGUGACACUGGUGGUGCAGGACUCCAAGUGAGUGACCCGUCAGAAUCAUCACCAUCAGCUGCAGGAUAAAUGCCUCCCGUUUAAAAGAAGCAAUAGACAUCUUGACAGGAUGAAGUCUCUGUGCUGUCCACGUCUAGGAUGAAAGGAGGCUGAAGUUUG
Molecule: long non-coding RNA, 189 nt
Organism: Python bivittatus (Burmese python)
Lineage: Eukaryota; Metazoa; Chordata; Lepidosauria; Squamata; Pythonidae
Source: RefSeq, a predicted model, not a curated record